Ziziphus jujuba (common jujube) is the source of this 2087-nucleotide RNA transcript. It is a transcript of the gene named gibberellin 20 oxidase 2, with no coding region annotated. The transcript has 3 exons. NCBI's taxonomy places the organism in Eukaryota, Viridiplantae, Streptophyta, Magnoliopsida, Rosales, Rhamnaceae. The record is from RefSeq and is a predicted model, not a curated record.
AAUGACCAAGGGGAUUUAAGGGCGUCCACUCGUCUCUGUUGUUGGCUGCUUAUCGUCCUUCCAAACCCUUCAUUUGCUUCGACCUUUCCAAUGGACGGCCAAUUGGCCUUUCCCUUCUCACACCUUUCCCACUUCUUAAUUUACUCUUCCUAGCUAAUUAAUCCACACUUUUUUUUUAUCAAUUUAAUUAAUUUUUGUUUUCUUCUCACCCCCCCCCCCCCCCCCUCUCUCUCUCUCUCUCUCUCUCUCUCUCUCUCUCUCUUUCUCUCUCUCUGGUUGCGUAUGUCAGUUCUAUAUAAAAAGAUUACCUACACACCAACUUGAACGAAAUGUCUUUCCUAAUGGAUUCAAACACUAGUUCAACUCUUCUUUUAUGUCCUCCAUCAAUGGAACCUAAUGAAGAUGAGAAUGGGGUUUUGGUUUUUGACUCAAACUUGCUAACAAAACAACCAAACUUGCCCAACCAAUUCCUUUGGCCAAUUGGAGACCUAGUUGAUACAGUGCAAGAAGAGCUCGAGGAGCCUUUGAUCGAUUUACAAGGCUUUCUUAAAGGUGACGAGCGUGAAACUGCACAUGCUGCGGAGCUCAUGAGGAUGGCUUGCACGAACCAUGGUUUCUUCCAAGUGACCAACCAUGGUGUUGACCCCAAUCUCAUUCACGCAGCACAUAAUGAAAUUGAUACAAUCUUUAAGAUGUCACCGAGCAAAAAGAUCAGCGCUCGAAGGAAACCUGGCAGUGUGUCUGGAUAUUCGGGUGCCCAUGCAGAUCGAUAUUCUUCGAAGUUGCCAUGGAAAGAAACAUUUUCUUUCACUCAUCAAGCAAGUAGUGAAUCUGGACCAGUUGCUGAAUACUUUAAAUUGGUAUUGGGAGAAGAAUUUGAACAAACUGGGUGGAUUUACCAAAGAUAUUGUGAAGCAAUGAGGGAGUUAUCUCUGGAGAUAAUGGAGCUGCUUGCUAUUAGUUUGGGAGUGAAUAGAGAGUACUAUAGGAAUUUUUUUGAAGAUAGUAGCUCUAUAAUGAGGUGCAAUUACUAUCCCCCCUGUAAUAAUUCAGAGCUAACCAUGGGAACAGGUCCCCAUUGUGACCCAACCUCCCUGACCAUACUCCAUCAAGACCAAGUUGGUGGCCUUGAAGUUUUUGCUAACAACAAAUGGCAGGCUGUUAGACCACGGCCUGAUGCCCUAGUGGUUAACGUUGGUGAUACCUUCAUGGUAGGUUCCCAUAUAAUUAAUCCCAUUAAUAGAUUUCUUUCAUUUUUUUAAUUUUUAAAAAUUUUCCUUAUGACACAUUAAUUUGUAGAAAGGUUUUCAAUCCGGCUCGACUAUAAAUUUUUAAUUAAUAUGUAACAUAUAUAACAACGUUAUUAUGAAUAUAUCACCUAUAUUAUGGUGAAUAUUUGACUGCAUUAGAUCGUCUAAAGGUAUUUAUAUGGGUUUGGAUACCCAGGUAAUAUGGGUGACCUUGCCCAUAAAAGAAAAUUUUUAUAUGUAUAUUAGAUGUUUGCUUUUUAAAAUGACUAGAGCCACUGCAUUAAAUCGUAUAAUGGUAUUUAUAUGGGUUUGGAUAUCCAACUAAUAUGGGUGACAUUGCCCAUAAAAGAAAAAUUUUAUGUGUAUAUUAGAUGCUUGCUUUUUAGAAUGAUUAGAGCCACAUAGUACUAAGACAAAUAAUUGCAUGCCAAAUUGAUAUGCAGCCCAAAGGUGUUGGAUUUUAGUUGUUUUGAAAAGAAUUAAUUAACUUUAAUCCUAAGGCCAAAACACUAUGAGAAUUGUGCAUCUACGAUUCGAUGGUGAUUCAUGUAGCCAUCACUUGUGGGACCCUUUACAAGUUUCAUUAAAAAAUAAUUGUUGGGUGUGUCCAAAACGGAUAAGACUGCGAUGCAAGUGGAAUAGUCUAAAACCCUGUAACAAGACAAGUCCAAGCCUGCAUAUAUUUGUCGUUCUCCAACAUAUAAUUAGCAUUAUCAAAUGGGAGAUACAAGAGCUGCCUUCAUAGAGCAGUGGUGAACAGGGAUAAGGCAAGAAGAUCAUUGGUUUUCUUUGUGUGCCCAAGAGAGGACAAAGUAGUGAGACCCCCACAAGAUCUGG